Molecule: ribosomal RNA, 131 nt
Filed under: uncultured bacterium
Lineage: Bacteria
Description: partial 16S ribosomal RNA
Rfam family: Bacterial small subunit ribosomal RNA
Source: RNAcentral
GGGGGAUAUUGCACAAUGGGGGAAACCCUGAUGCAGCGACGCCGCGUGAGUGAAGAAGUAUUUCGGUAUGUAAAGCUCUAUCAGCAGGGAAGAUAAUGACGGUACCUGACUAAGAAGCCCCGGCUAACUAC